Molecule: long non-coding RNA, 377 nt
Filed under: Sorghum bicolor (sorghum)
Lineage: Eukaryota; Viridiplantae; Streptophyta; Magnoliopsida; Poales; Poaceae
Description: long non-coding RNA (SBIC_LNC002239)
Source: RNAcentral
UACUAAUACUACUACAAAUGAAAGUGUUGGAGUGCUCUAAAAAUAAUACUAGAAUCUUUUAAGCCAAGUAAUACAUUAGAAUAAAAAACAAUACUAGAAUAAUAUAUAGUACAAACAAUAAUAUAUACAAAACCCUACUAGAAUAAAUUUGGUGGCUAAACACUACUAGAACAUAUAUUAGAGACUUAUAUACUACUACUAGUACUACUACAAAUGAAAGUGUUGGAGUGCUCUAAAAAUAAUACUAGAAUAUCUUUUAAGCCAAGUAAUACACUAGAAUAAAAAACAAUACUAGAAUAAUAUAGUACAAACAAUAAUAUAUACAAAACCCUACUAGAAUAAAUUUGGUGGCUAAACACUACUAGAACAUAUAUUAG